GUGGGGAAUUUUGGACAAUGGGGGAAACCCUGAUCCAGCCAUUCCGCGUGAGUGAAGAAGGCCUUCGGGUUGUAAAGCUCUUUCGGCCGGGAAGAAAUCGGCGGGACGAAUACUCCUGCUGGAUGACGGUACCGGAAGAAGAAGCACCGGCUAACUACGUGCCAGCAGCCGCGGUAAUACGUAGGGUGCGAGCGUUAAUCGGAAUUACUGGGCGUAAAGCGUGCGCAGGCGGCCGCAUAAGACAGCUGUGAAAGCCCCGGGCUUAACCUGGGAAUGGCGGUUGUGACUGUGUGGCUAGAGUUCGGCAGAGGGGGGUGGAAUUCCACGUGUAGCAGUGAAAUGCGUAGAGAUGUGGAGGAACACCGAUGGCGAAGGCAGCCCCCUGGGCCGUGACUGACGCUCAUGCACGAAAGCGUGGGGAGCAAACAGGAUUAGAAACCCUUGUAGUCC
Molecule: ribosomal RNA, 450 nt
Filed under: uncultured bacterium
Lineage: Bacteria
Description: bacterial SSU rRNA
Rfam family: Bacterial small subunit ribosomal RNA
Source: RNAcentral